RNAcentral lists this ribosomal RNA (299 nucleotides) under uncultured bacterium. RNAcentral describes it as "partial 16S ribosomal RNA". It matches the Rfam family "Bacterial small subunit ribosomal RNA", at positions 28 to 334 of the family's 1533-position model. The record is from RNAcentral.
GAUGAACGCUGGCGGCGUGCCUAAUACAUGCAAGUCGGACGGAGCGCUUCGGCGCUCAGUGGCGAACGGGUGAGUAGCACAUGGGCAACCUGCCCUUCAGAGGGGGACAACAGUUGGAAACGACUGCUAAUACCGCAUAAGCCCACAGGUCGGCAUCGACCAGAGGGAAAAGGAGCAAUCCGCUUUGAGAUGGCCUCGCGUCCGAUUAGCUAGUUGGUGAGGUAACGGCCCACCAAGGCGACGAUCGGUAGCCGGACUGAGAGGUUGAACGGCCACAUUGGGACUGAGACACGGCCCAG